Long non-coding RNA from Sebastes umbrosus (honeycomb rockfish), 1055 nucleotides. RefSeq lists it as uncharacterized. The transcript has 5 exons. NCBI's taxonomy places the organism in Eukaryota, Metazoa, Chordata, Actinopteri, Perciformes, Sebastidae. The record is from RefSeq and is a predicted model, not a curated record.
AUUGGCUGUCCUCCGGUCAUGUGACCGGUAGUUUGGCGUUGCUUCACCAGAUUAUUCACAAUGGCGACAGCGUCACAAACUUUCUCAUUUUACAGCUAAACCGUGCACUACAAGAUGAUUCUGUUAACAUCUGAGGCGAGAAAUAGGCAUUAGCGUAACAUAAUAUUGAUUCAUAUUUGAUCAGCGCUGCCUAGUUUGACCGUUUGGUCAGAGUUUGCGAGUGACUGACAGCCGGCUCUCAUAGACGGCAGAUGGACAGCGGACCUCAGAUCAGCUCUUACUGCUUGUUUUCCUCCGUUAUGUGAAAUCGUGCAGAUGCCGUUUGGAGCACCGGAGGACACAGAGGCACGUGAUUUUUUUCAGGUUACCUGUUUCAUGUACUACUGUCACGAUAUAGUGACCGUUUUAUAAAAAUAACUUUUUUUAAUCGCAACGCACGACCGCAGCUUCAGUUACACCGCGCAUGCGUUAUACCCCAUACCCCAAGACCCAUGUUCGCCCGUGACCCAGCCUCCUUUCCAUAGGCCUUGGGUGGUGGAUUCGUCUGUCCAUCUCCAUUUUGUGAGAAACUAACCAAUGGACAUUCAGGAAAUCACCAAGGACCUACCAACCAGCUGCAGUUUUCAUUCAGUCCACAGCAGAGUGUUGAAAGAUGGCAACACUGUCAGCGGUUUUGCAAAGCAGCGACGAGGAUAACGGAGCUUCAGAGCCUGAAGGUUUUAUUCUUCAAAUUGAAGAUGAUUACCAAGAUAAUGGGGAUCUAUGAAGAUGGAGAAAAUGCACAAGGUGUUGGGGGAUCAGCAGCAGACCUCAAAAAAACGCUGGAGGAGCAAAUAAAAAACUACAGGGAAGCUCUUCAGAAGUAACCAUAAUCAUCCAGUGGUCUGUGACAUCCAGGCGCACAUCAGAGAAUGGCAUUGGAGCAGCGGGUCCAGUGGCAUAGGCAUUCAGCGAUGUAUGACUUGAAGCUUUGCCUCCUGAAGGGACUGCUCCACCCCCAGACAAAAGGUCAUAACCACUUCAGCCCCUCCUUUCAUUGGACACAGACCUGUCAG